UUGUGAGUUUUAUGUAGAAGCAUGCAUCUUCACGGCACAUCUCCCAUGUCUUUGGUGAGUAGUUUAAGAACUGUACUGUUCUCCUGAAGAAGUUGCAGUUUGGGUGAAAAGGGAAAAAUGGCUGGAAGGGUACUUCGGAGCUCAUCCCAUCCAACCCCUCUGCUCAAAGCAGGGUCAGCUGAGUAGCCUGCCCAGGACUGUAUUGAGUUGGGUUUUGAAUGUCUCCAGGAUGGUGACUCCACAACCUCUCUGAGCAACCUCUUUCAAUGUCUGACCACUUUCAUAUUGUGUUGCAAAGUUUAGUUUCAAGAAGGAAAAUACCCUCAGAGGAGGUUGACAGACAGGUGGGAAAAUACAAAGGUGCCAAGAGAUCAGAGGAUGCUGAAAGAUACUGUCUAGAGGAGUCGUCUCUCUUAAGACACAGCUAGGAUUUAAUCUCAAAAGUAUACUACCUCCCCCAUGGCCUGCUCAAGGCUGCCUGGUUGUGCCUCCUCUGCUGAUGGCAGUUCUACCUCCAGGACUCUUGUCCUCUCUUGCAGACUGGCAGUAAGGAGUCCCCUGCUGCCACACGUGACUUUGGCUCUUGAUUAACCUACUUGGCACAGUAUGAAGCUGGAGGUGCUUCAGGUUUUGCACACAGUGCUUCAUACUUAUUAACUUUAUGUCUUGUCAACUGAAAUCAAUAUUGAUAAUAAUAAAU
Molecule: long non-coding RNA, 700 nt
Filed under: Athene cunicularia (burrowing owl)
Lineage: Eukaryota; Metazoa; Chordata; Aves; Strigiformes; Strigidae
Description: lncRNA (ENSACUG00000010350.1)
Source: RNAcentral